RNAcentral lists this ribosomal RNA (482 nucleotides) under uncultured bacterium. RNAcentral's name for it is "bacterial SSU rRNA". It matches the Rfam family "Bacterial small subunit ribosomal RNA", at positions 29 to 507 of the family's 1533-position model. The record is from RNAcentral.
AUGAACGCUAGCGGCAGGCUUAACACAUGCAAGUCGAGGGGCAUCGAGAGUAGCAAUACUUGUCGGCGACCGGCGCAAGGGUGCGUAACACGUGAGCAACAUACCCGUUUCAGGAGGAUAACCGGAGGAAACUCUGCCUAAUACUCCAUGACAUCAUCAAACGGCAUCGUUUGAUGAUUAAAGAUUUAUCGGAAACGGCUUGGCUCGCGGGACAUUAGCUCGUUGGUGAGGUAACGGCUCACCAAGGCCACGAUGUCUAGGGGUUCUGAGAGGAAGGUCCCCCACACUGGAACUGAGACACGGUCCAGACUCCUACGGGAGGCAACAGUGAGGAAUAUUGGACAAUGGUCGGAAGACUGAUCCAGCCAUGCCGCGUGAAGGUUACUGUCCUAUGGAUAUUAAACUUCUUUUGUAUGAGAGCAAUAAGGUGCACGCGUGCACCGAUGAGAGUAUCAUACGAAUAAGCAUCGGCUAACUCCGUG